GAUGAACGCUAGCGGCAGGCCUAACACAUGCAAGUCGAGGGGCAGCAUGGCGUAGCGAUACGCUGAUGGCGACCGGCGCACGGGUGAGUAACACGUAGGCAACCUACCCUUCAGUGGGGGACAACAGAGGGAAACUUCUGCUAAUACCGCAUACGGCCUUGUACUGGGAUGUACGAGGAGAAAGGAUUUAUUCGCUGAGGGAUGGGCCUGCGGCCUAUCAGGUAGUUGGUGGGGUAAAGGCCUACCAAGCCUGCGACGGGUAGCCGGACUGAGAGGUCGACCGGCCACACUGGAACUGAGACACGGUCCAGACUCCUACGGGAGGCAGCAGUGGGGAAUAUUGCACAAUGGGGGAAACCCUGACCGAGCGAUGCCGCGUGAGUGGUGAAGGUUCUAUGAA
Molecule: ribosomal RNA, 400 nt
Filed under: uncultured bacterium
Lineage: Bacteria
Description: bacterial SSU rRNA
Rfam family: Bacterial small subunit ribosomal RNA
Source: RNAcentral